RNAcentral lists this transfer RNA (67 nucleotides) under Curculionidae sp. BMNH 1274272. RNAcentral describes it as "tRNA-Tyr". It matches the Rfam family "tRNA". From Rfam's summary of the family: Transfer RNA (tRNA) molecules are approximately 80 nucleotides in length. Their secondary structure includes four short double-helical elements and three loops (D, anti-codon, and T loops). Lineage: Eukaryota; Metazoa; Arthropoda; Insecta; Coleoptera; Curculionidae. The record is from RNAcentral.
GGUAAAAUGGCUGAAUGUAAGGCGAUAAAUUGUAAAUUUAUAUAUGAAAUAAUUUUCUUUUACCAAA